RNAcentral lists this long non-coding RNA (514 nucleotides) under Equus asinus (donkey). RNAcentral's name for it is "lncRNA (ENSEASG00005036243.1)". The record is from RNAcentral. Lineage: Eukaryota; Metazoa; Chordata; Mammalia; Perissodactyla; Equidae.
UGAAUGUCUACCCGUGGCCCCGCCCUGCAGUAGGACCUAACGAGAGACAAGACCCAGAAUCUGCCUUUGAAGGAGGGGGCCAGUUCAGGAAUAUGGACUCUGUCGUCAGGACACAGAAGAGCCUUUGCAGGACUAAAUCGGGCCAGAUUGUCCCUUUAGCUGUGGUGUGGAGAAGGGGUCAGAGGUGUAGGCGGGAGCUCCGGAGACCCUGCUGGUCUCGGUGACACAGUGCGAGAUGAUGGCAACGUGAAAUGCAAGCAGAGACAGGAUGCUGUGGACGGAGAGAAAACACCCUAGAUGAAGUGUCUGCGACAACACUGCAGAAAUAUAUACUUUUUUGACAUUUUGGAAUCAAAAGCAAAGUUUGUUGAUGAUAACCCCAUCAGAUCAGGGUGGUUUAAAAGCCAAAGCUUAGUGCAAAUAAGAUCCCUGGGCCAGCCCCUCGAGCUGACAGUGCCCGCGCAGGCACGUCAAUUUCAACAAAGGUAUCGGGCGUCACUUGUCUGCUGUGCAG